GUGCUCGCUUUGGCAGCACAUAUACUAAAAUUGGAAUGAUACAGAGAAGAUCAGCAUGGCCCUUGCGCAAGGAUUACACGCAAAUUUGUGAAGCGUUCCAUAUUUUU
Molecule: small nuclear RNA, 107 nt
Filed under: Bison bison bison
Lineage: Eukaryota; Metazoa; Chordata; Mammalia; Artiodactyla; Bovidae
Source: RNAcentral